UGUAGGGCGCACGGCGGAUGCCUUGGCACAGGAAGCCGAUGAAGGACGCGGCAAGCUGCGAUAAUCCGCGGUUAGGGGCACACACCCUUCGACCCGCGGGUCUCCGAAUGGGCGAACCCGCCAGGAGAGGUCCUGGCAUCCCCCUUGGGAACGCAUACCUUGGGGGAGGACAACCCGGGGAACUGAAACAUCUAAGUACCCGGAGGAGAAGAAAUCAACUGCGAGAUUCCCCGAGUAGCGGCGAGCGAAAGGGGACCGAUGGCCAAACCGGCGAGCGGGCGGGCGCCAGCCUAUACCGCCGCCGGGGUUGCAGGGCCUCCCGCCCGGGAGCUGGCGCUCCCGGCGGGGAUCCAUCCAGGGGAGCCGAACGGCAUGGGAGGGCCGGCGGCACAGGGUCACAGCCCCGUAGGCGCACCCUGGGAUGGACCCCGGCGGAGGUCCCUGAGUAGGGCCGGGCACGUGAAACCCGGUCCGAAGCAGGGGGGACCACCCUCCAAGCCUGAAUACUCUCCUGUGACCGAUAGCGCACAAGUACCGUGAGGGAAAGGUGAAAAGCACCCCGGGAGGGGAGUGAAACAGUACCUGAAACCGUGCGCCCGCAAGGCGUCGGAGCACCCUUUCAGAGGUGUGACGGCGUGCCUUUUGUAGAAUGAGCCAGCGAGUUGCUGGCCGUCGGCGAGGUUAAGCUGGAAAGCGAGCCGGAGCGAAAGCGAGUCCGAAACGGGCGACCAUAGUCGGCGGCCGCAGACGCGAAGCCGGGUGAGCUACCCGUGGGCAGGCUGAAGCGGGGGUAAGACCCCGUGGAGGGCCGAACGCACGUCGGUUGAAAACGGCGGCGAUGACCUGCGGAUAGGGGUGAAAGGCCAAUCAAACCCGGAGAUAUCUCGUUCUCCCCGAAAUAGCUUUAGGGCUAGCGUCGCGCGUUAACCCCGGGAGGUAGAGCACCGGAUCGAUGAGGGGGCUUCGCCGCCUACCGAUUCGAACCGAACUCCGAAUGCCCGAGGGUCUAGAGCGCGGCAGUCAGAACAUGUGGGCUAAGCUGUGUGUUCGAGAGGGAAACAGCCCAGACCGCCCGCUAAGGUCCCAAAUUCAGAGCCGAGUGGCAAAGGAUGUGCGUCCGCGCAGACAACCAGGAGGUUGGCUUAGAAGCAGCCACCCCUUCAAAGAGUGCGUAACAGCUCACUGGUCGAGUGGACAUGCGCCGACAAUACACGGGGCUAAGCUGGACACCGAAGCGGCGGGAUUUUACCUAAGUAGAAUCGGUAGGGGAGCUUCCCAUGGGCGGUGAAGCCGCCGGGCGACCGGCGGUGGAGCGCAUGGGAGUGAGAAUGCUGGCAUGAGUAGCGAGAGACGAGAGAGUAACUCGUCCGCCGUGAACCCGAGGUUUCCUGGGCAAGGCUAAUCCUCCCAGGGUCAGUCGGGGGCUAAGGCGAGGCCGGAAGGCGUAGUCGAAGCGCAGCAGGCAGACAUUCCUGCACCGCGAUGGAACCGUCACGACCGACGGGGCGACGGAUGGGGGUGGCUCGGCGGGGUUCUGGACGUCCCCGUGAUGGAGCGCGGCCCGGAGACCAGGCAAAUCCGGUCUCCACGAGGGCGAGGCUCCGGACGAAGCGAUCGAGCGAAGCGAGUGAGCCCGAGGUCCCUAGAAAAACCCCUAGGCAGGCGCCAUCGCGCCCGUACCGCAAACCGACACAGGUGGGUGGGUAGAACAUACCGAGGCGAUCGGGUCAACCAUGGUUAAGGAACUCGGCACAAUGGCCCCGUAACUUCGGGAGAAGGGGUGCCCCCGCGUACGUGAACCGGCUCGCCCGGGGAGCGGAGGGGGGCCGCAGUGAAGAGGCCCAAGCGACUGUUUACCAAAAACACAGGACUCUGCAUAAGCCGCGAGGCGACGUAUAGGGUCUGACGCCUGCCCGGUGCCGGAAGGUCACGCGGAGGUGUUAGCGCGAGCGAAGCACCGAAGCCAAGCCCCGGUAAACGGCGGCCGUAACUAUAACGGUCCUAAGGUAGCGAAAUUCCUUGUCGGGUAAGUUCCGACCUGC
Molecule: ribosomal RNA, 2042 nt
Filed under: human gut metagenome
Description: bacterial LSU rRNA
Rfam family: Bacterial large subunit ribosomal RNA
Source: RNAcentral